AUGAGCCGCGCAUCACCGUGGACGCCGGCAAACCUACAACCAGCAGAUUGUCGCGAGGAUAAGAAGAGGAGAUUACCCCAAGGUCACACUGGAAAGGUCGUAAGCAGCAGCGGAUCGGCACAUGAAGAUCUCGACGACAUGUUUGCGUCGCUGUCCAUCGACAGCGUCCUCGCUCAAGAAAAUUCAGGAGAUCGUUCCAAGGACAGGAAGAGAAAAUCAUGCCAAGAAAGUGCUGGAAAUUUGACUAACGCUUUAUCGGAUGAUGUUUUGGAAAACAUGUUUGCGUCGCUUUCGAUCGAUUCUAGAGUGACAAGUACUGCUUCCACAAGAUCGGGGAAAGGAUCUUUUAUUAUUCUUGAUGACAAUAUUCUCGCUGGAGGUAAUUCAGAUUGCACCACUUCCACUGACUCUAGGAGGCCAAGGUCAGAGGUAUUCAUUGAAAGGGUAAAUGACCUGUUGCUGCACCAUGAUGGAACUGGUGUUCGAGUGUUCGAGGUUCGUUUUGAUUUGAACUCCACUCAUGCUGCCCACCUUGACAAAUGGGUCCAGUUUGCGUCAGAGGCGGGUGCACAAGAUGUGAAACUUAGCUUGUGUAAAGACAUGACAUCUUGUCCGGAGCAUUUGGUGACUGCAAAUCGUUAUAACUUCCCUUUGCAUUGCUUUGGCGAUGGGCGACAAAGAUCCUCGAUGCGGAAGCUAGACCUGACGAAUUGCAUAUUCACGCCACCGCUGGAUUCCAGUGCCUUUUCCUCCCUUGUAUGCCUUUAUCUAGUACGUGCCACAAUAACCGACGCCGGCGUCCAGAACAUUUGCUCUUGCUGCCCUAUUCUCCGCCAUUUGAGACUGGCACGAUGUGACGAUCUUGUUAAUGUAAGGAUUUCCCAUGAAGUGCUGAUAUGUUUGGAUAUAUUUCGUUGCAAAAAGCUGGUGAGUGUUGAGAUUCACGCCACCUGCCUACUCAUCUUCGAGUAUGAUGGGCAUGAGGUACACAUCAAUUAUGCUAGUACCCCCAGUAUGAGGUUUUUGGCAAAUAAUUUCAAGAACCGAAAUAGUUAUCUUUCGGACGGUGUAGAAGCCAUGAAAAGGAUCAGAAAAAUCACCUUGACAUUUCUUUGGCCAUCGGAGAAGCCCAGUUAUACACUUUACGCGAUCAAAUUCCCAGCAUUACAGUUCAUCAACCUAUUUAUUUUGCCAUCUUGGAAUAAUGUUCGUGGAGUAGCUUAUCUCGUCAAGGCAACUCCUUAUCUUAAAAGACUCCGGCUAGAAGCACGCAGCGGAGACCACCAUUAUCGGGACGACGUCCAGGUCAGCUGGCCCGAGGGCAUCUCUCUCAAGAGGCUCCGUUUCAUCACCGUGGGCGGUUUCGCCGCCCAGGCCCCGCUGGUCGAGCUCUUGGUGUGCCUGGUGCACGCGGGCGCCCCACCAUCUCUGCAAAGGGCUGGGCAGGUGGGUCAGGGAGGAAGACGUCGGCGACAAGCCUGCGAGGGACCGCGCGAGGGAGACCCUCCGCUCACUGUGACUGAGAGCUGGCCAGAUUUUUGUUUUGUUUUGUGGGGUAGCUGGCUAGACAAGAGCCCGGAGUUCCUUGUGGACAGCUAG
Molecule: ribosomal RNA, 1599 nt
Filed under: Triticum aestivum (bread wheat)
Lineage: Eukaryota; Viridiplantae; Streptophyta; Magnoliopsida; Poales; Poaceae
Description: partial small subunit ribosomal RNA
Source: RNAcentral